This 254-nucleotide ribosomal RNA is filed under the name uncultured bacterium. Its description in RNAcentral is "partial 16S ribosomal RNA". It matches the Rfam family "Bacterial small subunit ribosomal RNA", at positions 524 to 776 of the family's 1533-position model. The record is from RNAcentral.
UACGAAGGGGGCUAGCGUUGCUCGGAAUCACUGGGCGUAAAGCGCACGUAGGCGGAUUGUUAAGUCAGGGGGUGAAAUCCUGGAGCUCAACUCCAGAACUGCCUUUGAUACUGGCGAUCUCGAGUCCGGGAGAGGUGAGUGGAACUGCGAGUGUAGAGGUGAAAUUCGUAGAUAUUCGCAAGAACACCAGUGGCGAAGGCGGCUCACUGGCCCGGUACUGACGCUGAGGUGCGAAAGCGUGGGGAGCGAACAGG